UCAUCGCAGCAAAAUAGUGGAAGCAACUUCAAUGCCUGUUGGAAGGAGUUGGUUAUAUAAGUCCAUCCGUGGAAGAGCUAACUUAAUUGAGUUUUUUCCAUGCCAGAUGGAGUCUCACUGUCACCCAGGCUGGAGUGCAGUGGCGCGAUCUCAGCUCACGGUAGCCUCAACCUCCUGGGGUCAAGCAAUCUUCCCACCUCGGCCUCCCAAGUAGCUGGGACUACAGGGAGUCUGCUGUAUCUGUGAGGACCAGCUAAAUAUUAAACCUGGCUCUGUGCCCUCUGCUGCAUUGUGCUCAAGGCUUUAUACACAUCAUCUCAUUUGACUUCGUGACUAUCUAAGGUGAGAGAUUCUUCUAUUAUUCCC
Molecule: long non-coding RNA, 366 nt
Filed under: Callithrix jacchus (white-tufted-ear marmoset)
Lineage: Eukaryota; Metazoa; Chordata; Mammalia; Primates; Cebidae
Description: lncRNA (ENSCJAG00000073682.1)
Source: RNAcentral